This 952-nucleotide ribosomal RNA is filed under the name Psychrobacter submarinus. RNAcentral's name for it is "bacterial SSU rRNA". It matches the Rfam family "Bacterial small subunit ribosomal RNA", at positions 56 to 1002 of the family's 1533-position model. Lineage: Bacteria; Pseudomonadati; Pseudomonadota; Gammaproteobacteria; Moraxellales; Moraxellaceae. The record is from RNAcentral.
UGCAGUCGAGCGGAAACGAUACCAGCUUGCUGGUAGGCGUCGAGCGGCGGACGGGUGAGUAACACUUAGGAAUCUACCUAGUAGUGGGGGAUAGCUCGGGGAAACUCGAAUUAAUACCGCAUACGACCUACGGGAGAAAGGGGGCAACUUGUUGCUCUCGCUAUUAGAUGAGCCUAAGUCGGAUUAGCUAGUUGGUGGGGUAAAGGCCUACCAAGGCGACGAUCUGUAGCUGGUCUGAGAGGAUGAUCAGCCACACCGGGACUGAGACACGGCCCGGACUCCUACGGGAGGCAGCAGUGGGGAAUAUUGGACAAUGGGGGCAACCCUGAUCCAGCCAUGCCGCGUGUGUGAAGAAGGCCUUUUGGUUGUAAAGCACUUUAAGCAGUGAAGAAGACCUAACGGUUAAUACCCGUUAGCGAUGACAUUAGCUGCAGAAUAAGCACCGGCUAACUCUGUGCCAGCAGCCGCGGUAAUACAGAGGGUGCAAGCGUUAAUCGGAAUUACUGGGCGUAAAGCGAGCGUAGGUGGCUUGAUAAGUCAGAUGUGAAAUCCCCGGGCUUAACCUGGGAACUGCAUCUGAUACUGUUAGGCUAGAAUAGGUGAGAGGAAGGUAGAAUUCCAGGUGUAGCGGUGAAAUGCGUAGAGAUCUGGAGGAAUACCGAUGGCGAAGGCAGCCUUCUGGCAUCAUAUUGACACUGAGGUUCGAAAGCGUGGGUAGCAAACAGGAUUAGAUACCCUGGUAGUCCACGCCGUAAACGAUGUCUACUAGUCGUUGGGUCCCUUGAGGACUUAGUGACGCAGCUAACGCAAUAAGUAGACCGCCUGGGGAGUACGGCCGCAAGGUUAAAACUCAAAUGAAUUGACGGGGGCCCGCACAAGCGGUGGAGCAUGUGGUUUAAUUCGAUGCAACGCGAAGAANCUUACCUGGUCUUGACAUAUCUAGAAUCCUGCA